This 768-nucleotide ribosomal RNA is filed under the name uncultured bacterium. RNAcentral's name for it is "bacterial SSU rRNA". It matches the Rfam family "Bacterial small subunit ribosomal RNA", at positions 28 to 776 of the family's 1533-position model. The record is from RNAcentral.
GACGAACGCUGGCGGCGUGCCUAAUACAUGCAAGUCGAGCGAAGUUUUUCUGGUGCUUGCACUAGAAAAACUUAGCGGCGAACGGGUGAGUAACACGUAAAGAACCUGCCUCAUAGACUGGGACAACUAUUGGAAACGAUAGCUAAUACCGGAUAACAGCAUUAACUGCAUGGUUGAUGUUUAAAAGUUGGUUAUGCUAACACUAUGAGAUGGCUUUGCGGUGCAUUAGCUAGUUGGUGGGGUAAAGGCCUACCAAGGCGACGAUGCAUAGCCGACCUGAGAGGGUGAUCGGCCACACUGGGACUGAGACACGGCCCAGACUCCUACGGGGGGCAGCAGUAGGGAAUCUUCCGCAAUGGGCGAAAGCCUGACGGAGCAACGCCGCGUGAGUGAAGAAGGAUUUCGGUUCGUAAAGCUCUGUUGUUAGGGAAGAAUGAUUGUGUAGUAACUAUACACAGUAGAGACGGUACCUAACCAGAAAGCCACGGCUAACUACGUGCCAGCAGCCGCGGUAAUACGUAGGUGGCAAGCGUUGUCCGGAAUUAUUGGGCGUAAAGCGCGCGCAGGUGGUUUAAUAAGUCUGAUGUGAAAGCCCACGGCUCAACCGUGGAGGGUCAUUGGAAACUGUUAAACUUGAGUGCAGGAGAGAAAAGUGGAAUUCCUAGUGUAGCGGUGAAAUGCGUAGAGAUUAGGAGGAACACCAGUGGCGAAGGCGGCUUUUUGGCCUGUAACUGACACUGAGGCGCGAAAGCGUGGGGAGCAAACAGG